Molecule: long non-coding RNA, 589 nt
Organism: Lycium barbarum (goji berry)
Lineage: Eukaryota; Viridiplantae; Streptophyta; Magnoliopsida; Solanales; Solanaceae
Exons: 3
Source: RefSeq, a predicted model, not a curated record
CAAAUGUUAAGGGAAAAAUUAGAAAUUUCAACCAAGGAGCGGUUUGGCAGAGGAUACGGCAUCACAAGAUUCGAUUUUCGUACUUCAGACUUUGUCCGUUCGGAAGCACUUCAGAAGGAAAAAGCUUUGGCGUGAAAGUUUGUGGCACCUGUUCGGCUUCGAGAGUUAUUUUCAGGUGAUGUUCGGAGUCUCACGACCGUUUCGAGGCAUUCGUCAAAGGCGUUUAGGUGAAUUAGUUGAGAUCUUGCAACCCAGAGUCUCUCCUUAGAUUUCUGUUGUUCUCUAUCCUUAAACAGAAGUCGUAUCCAAGUUGAGUCUGUUAUCUACUUCAAAUAGUAAACUUCUUAGAAGCUCUUGUACGAGUCUAGACCAGGUUUUGGGAAUUUCUUAUAAUAAAAGUAUUUUUUCCGCAUUGGUGUAAUAUUUAAACUGCUAGAGUAUGUUUACAUGUUGUUAUUCCGCAUGUUGUAUCAAAUUAAGGUAGUUACCUGAAAGGUUCGCCCACCAGGAAGGGUUAGUGUGGGUGCCCGCAUGAUCCAUGAUUUGGGUCGUGACACGGACAUACUCCAAUGUAGAAUCCAUACCUGCC